AGUGAACGCUGGCGGUAGGCCUAACACAUGCAAGUCGAACGGCAGCACAGUAAGAGCUUGCUCUUACGGGUGGCGAGUGGCGGACGGGUGAGGAAUACAUCGGAAUCUACUUUUUCGUGGGGGAUAACGUAGGGAAACUUACGCUAAUACCGCAUACGACCUACGGGUGAAAGCAGGGGAUCUUCGGACCUUGCGCGAUUGAAUGAGCCGAUGUCGGAUUAGCUAGUUGGCGGGGUAAAGGCCCACCAAGGCGACGAUCCGUAGCUGGUCUGAGAGGAUGAUCAGCCACACUGGAACUGAGACACGGUCCAGACUCCUACGGGGGGCAGCAGUGGGGAAUAUUGGACAAUGGGCGCAAGCCUGAUCCAGCCAUACCGCGUGGGUGAAGAAGGCCUUCGGGUUGUAAAGCCCUUUUGUUGGGAAAGAAAAGCAGCAGGUUAAUACCCCGCCGUUCUGACGGUACCCAAAGAAUAAGCACCGGCUAACUUCGUG
Molecule: ribosomal RNA, 492 nt
Filed under: uncultured bacterium
Lineage: Bacteria
Description: partial 16S ribosomal RNA
Rfam family: Bacterial small subunit ribosomal RNA
Source: RNAcentral